UACGUAGGGUGCGAGCGUUGUCCGGAAUUAUUGGGCGUAAAGAGCUUGUAGGCGGUUUGUCGCGUCUGCUGUGAAAUUUCGGGGCGUCACCCGAACCUUGCAGUGGGUACGGGGCAGACUAGAGUGUGGUAGGGGAGACUGGAAGUUCCUGGUGUAGCGGUGAAAUGCGCAGAUAAUCAGGAGGAACACCGAUGGCGAAGGCAGGUCUCUGGGCCACUACUGACGUGAGAAGCGAAAGCAUGGGGGAGCGAACAGG
Molecule: ribosomal RNA, 256 nt
Filed under: uncultured bacterium
Lineage: Bacteria
Description: partial 16S ribosomal RNA
Rfam family: Bacterial small subunit ribosomal RNA
Source: RNAcentral